UUCAGUCAUACGGAAGCAAUACGACCGACCGGCAAACUAACGCUUAACUAGUGCUCAGCUAUUUUUUUAGUUAAAACGACGACUCUUGCAGUGAUAAUUGAAAGUGUUACCAAUUAAAAUAGCCGAAGAAGAAGAAGACGAAGAAACAGAAAAAAGGAAUAAAAGUUUAAAAGCUGAAAAAAAAUCUAGGAAAAGAAGAUUAAAAUAAAAUAAAAAUUACAACAACAGCAAAAUCAAAUAACCUGUUUUUAGUGCCUAUUAACGUUUUCUUAAAACAAAACAAAAAAAUUAAAAAAAAAAAAUCUAAAAAGUUUUAAUUUCAUUUUGCAAUUCUAUAUCAUUUGAAAGGCUUUUUUGAAGUGACAAAAACAACAUUAAAAAAACAACUUAAAACAAAUAAGUAUCAACAUUAAUAAGCCCAGUUAUUUACUGUUUUAAAGUGUCUUUCGUAAAAAAAAUCAAUUUACUCCUAAGGAAAACAAAGUCUGCUGCCAACAUUUUAUUUUUUCCAUUCCUAAAUUGAAAUCCAAAAAAAAAAAGCAUUUAUUUGUUUAACAUUAUCAUAGCGUAAUUAGUGUUUUUUUGUUAAAAUAAUUUUGAAUGAACAAUAUGUCACCUACCAAGGACAAUAUGAAUCAUCUUAAUAAUCAUACCACUCUAUCGAGGCGUUCACGUGAUGAAUUUUCGGAAACGGUAAGU
Long non-coding RNA from Lucilia sericata (common green bottle fly), 699 nucleotides. RefSeq lists it as uncharacterized. Lineage: Eukaryota; Metazoa; Arthropoda; Insecta; Diptera; Calliphoridae. The record is from RefSeq and is a predicted model, not a curated record. The transcript is spliced from 4 exons.